UGCGUAGGCGGACUAAUAAGUCAGUGGUGCAAUCUCUCGGCUCAACCGGGAAACUGCCAUUGAUACUGUUAGUCUUGAGUUCGGUUGAGGUAGGCGGAAUGUGUAAUGUAGCGGUGAAAUGCUUAGAUAUUACUCAGAACACCAAUUGCGUAGGCAGCUUACUAGACCGACACUGACGCUGAGGCACGAAAGCGUGGGUAGCGAACAGGAUUAGAUACCCUGGUAGUCC
This 229-nucleotide ribosomal RNA is filed under the name uncultured bacterium. RNAcentral's name for it is "partial 16S ribosomal RNA". It matches the Rfam family "Bacterial small subunit ribosomal RNA", at positions 568 to 796 of the family's 1533-position model. The record is from RNAcentral.